UAUAGAAAUACUGCAAGGGUCAAAUUAUAAUAAACGAAGCUGUAGGGAUCAUAUGUAAUAAACAGUACAGAGACAACAAAACUAUUAUGAACAGUGUAUCUUUAUAUUAAUAAAAGUGUUAAAUUACCCGAGUCAAAAAAAGGGAUUCUUGAAAUUGCCCCACGUCAUCAUCAUCAUCAUCUCCUCUCUGUGGAAAAUGCAUACCAAGUGUUCGACGAAAUGGCUGAAAGGAAAGUUGGCAUUUCAGACGUGUAUUGACAUCCUGGUAUAUCUGUAUUUUAUGAGUAAAAGCAACAUUGUCACUUUUUAUCGUUGCUAUCUUUUCGUCUUUCAGUUUUCUCGAAAGAUUUCUGUUUCAAUAUCUAACCUUUAUGCAUGAGUUUGAAGAAUCAUAAUGAUUCACAAAGCGUCAUAUAUCAAUCCUAUACGGCAUGCAUAAAUGUAGUGAACCCUGUAAGAAAUUUUGUAGAUUGCUUAGUAAACUUCCGCAUUUAAGGCGAUGAUUUUACUUCUUAAGAUCAUUUUAAAGUUUUUUACUUUACUGCUUUAGAUCAUUUCAAAGUUUUUUACUUUACAGCUUGAGACCAUUUUCAAGCUUCGAAUUUGUAUUGUUUAGCUCCAUUUAGAAUUAUGAUGAAAACUGUAAUGGCUGAAUAUGAGACUAAGUACUGCCCAGCUCUCAGCUGCUGGUGGUGCUUUGCUUCAACGUGAUGUCUCUGCCUUACUCAUCUGAAUUCUCUUUUCUGCAUUGUUUUUGUAUUUUGUUCAACUCAUUGACAUGUUCUCGUAUCAUCUUGCCAUGUUUUAAAAUAGAGUUGACUUGUUUGAUCAAAUGUCAAUUGUAUUUUGAUGCAGAGAUGUCUUUAAAACAAUAUUUUAGGUUUCUUCUUGUACGGAUUGGGCAAAGUUUUGAUAUCCAAAAGCAGAAGAGUUGACAACGAUUAUUAAAAAAGGAAACAGAGUCAGUCGCAAAGCCUGAACCGUUCACUGAUAUAGACAGAUGGUGAUGAUCUCUUCAGAUGCUACUGCGACCAGUCUCUAACAGAAAAUGUGCAGGGGACUAGAGAAUCAAAAUCAAUAUCAACAUACAAUAUCUUGAAAAGUGAAUAAUCUCCAUUUGAAUGAUUCUGGUUUUUGUAAACCAACAACCAUCAUGCUCAGUUUCCAAGAAGUGAUCUUCUGCAUCUCCUUGUUUGCAAUCAAUUUAGUGUUUUGUUGUUUCACCUGCUUCUCUAUUCUUCAGAUCUUCAUGAAAGAUGAAAACCAGGAUUUCAGUGAUCUCAGGAAGAAUCUUGUUGAACCAGAAGAAGCUAAACCGGAUGAGAAGGUAAUGAUCAUUACAGUCUCGAGUAACCAAGGAUCCAUUGAUGAUGAUUGUGGCCAAGAUGAUUGCUCUCAUGAUGAUAUUUGUCCUUGUUGAAAGUUGAAACAAAGAUUCAGAGAGAGUAUCACAUCUUAUUGAACCAGAAGAAGCUAAACCAGAUGUGAAGGUGAUGAUCAUUACAGUCUCGAGUAACCAAGGAUUCUCUGACUCCACUGAUGAUGAUGAUGAUGAUUGUGGCCAAGAUUGCUGUCAUGAAUUAAACAAAGGCUAUUCUUGCAACAAUCGCUGUGAUUCUGGGUGUAUCUAAAGGAGCAGACGAAUGGUGAUGGAUCAAUCAUCUUGUGGGGUUACUCUCAAUCAUCUACUUCCUUUUUUUACGUACUCUAUGAAGAAACAAGAAAAAGGUGUAAAACUUCAAAAAAAUUUAUUUGAGUUUUGUUAUCUAUAUAAGAAGUCAAAGAUAUGAAUUUAAGACAAAGAGACCAAAUGUGACAAGACU
This is a long non-coding RNA of Arabidopsis lyrata subsp. lyrata, 1823 nucleotides long. RefSeq lists it as uncharacterized. The record is from RefSeq and is a predicted model, not a curated record. Lineage: Eukaryota; Viridiplantae; Streptophyta; Magnoliopsida; Brassicales; Brassicaceae. The transcript is spliced from 5 exons.